Molecule: long non-coding RNA, 1186 nt
Filed under: Mustela putorius furo (domestic ferret)
Lineage: Eukaryota; Metazoa; Chordata; Mammalia; Carnivora; Mustelidae
Description: lncRNA (ENSMPUG00000025293.1)
Source: RNAcentral
UGCCAGGCAGAGAACACAGGAGGGACAGAGCGGGGAAGGGGUGGGGGGCAGUGCGCAGCCUGGCAGCGCCUCUGGCCUCCCUGCACUUUGCAUCUCCUGCCCUUUCUGCUCCAGGCAUUCUGGGACCUGUGUAAACCAGAAGAUCCCAGACGUUCACACCGCGGGGGCAACUUCUGACCUUGACGGGCGGUGGUGGGGAACGGGUGGCUAACACGCCGCCUCUCCGGAGAGAACCCACCAGAAGCUGAGCCCCCGGAGCCCACAGUGGCCGGUGACUCUUUCCCUGGCCCUGGCAGGGCAGCUGGAGAAGACGACAGCGUGUCCUGUGUUGGGACGUCGGCCUCCCGCCGACGCGGCGUCCUCACGCCGUGGAGCGCUCACGUUUGAACGAAAGCCUGUCGUCGAACGUCAGCGCGGCGACCGCGUCGGGUGGGAUUCUCUCCCCUCCACUAAGAGUCCCCGGAGGUUUCAGGGCAGGAGGACGGGGAGUGAGAGGAGGGGCCUCUGGGGGAGGAGGAGAGCAGCAGCAGCAGCUGUGUUCCCAGGAGCACCUGUGACCGUCCGGCCCCCCGGCCCCCAGCCCCCAGCCCGAGCCUGCUCACACAGACGCUGCAAAGACAGGACCUGGCUUUUGUUUUCACUUCAUUUAAUUUGCCCGAAUGAAGACUGCAAUUACUAAGCAGUUUAUACAUUCCCCUGGGCUUCGGGGAUGCUGUCCCUGGCAGAGUUGCCACCCCCAUUUGGAAACUUCACCCGUAAAAGCAUCAGACUCGCCUGCGUAGUAUGUGGAAAUCUGCAGUGUCAUCCUUUGUGCAAGGGAUAAAAAUUCAACCCAGGGUACCGGUUUUAAUAAAGCUUAAUUAGACCAAUUUGUAGUAAGCUGAGGUUUCCACUUUGCAAUUUGACAAGCAGCUUGAGCUGCCUUGCUACGUUUUUAUGUUCAGGAAUUUCUGUAUCUCAAAAGGUCGAAUGGAUCAUAAAAUUCUCUCCAAAAGACUCCUAAAGGAGUAGUGAAUUUCUUCCAUUGUGUGUGUGUGUGUGUGUGUGUUUUAGAAUGUCUUUAUUAAUGAUUGAAGGGUGAUCUUGGGUAAUGGUGGAGUUCAACCCAUCACUGAGGUCCAGGGGGGCAGAUCAGACUGGUCCCCCUCUCGUGAAACUCUUGCCACUAGCUCAUGGCCCUCUUUCC